Molecule: non-coding RNA, 28 nt
Filed under: Mus musculus (house mouse)
Lineage: Eukaryota; Metazoa; Chordata; Mammalia; Rodentia; Muridae
Source: RNAcentral
GACACAUACCCUGGCUGUCAUGUUAAAA